GUUAUAUGGUCAAGCGAAUAAGCGCACACGGUGGAUGCCUUGGCGGUCAGAGGCGAUGAAGGACGUGGCAGCCUGCGAAAAGUAUCGGGGAGCUGGCAACAAGCUUUGAUCCGGUAAUGUCCGAAUGGGGAAACCCACCCGCUUGCGGGUAUCCUGCAGUGAAUACAUAGCUGCUGGAAGCGAACCUGGUGAACUGAAAUAUCUAAGUAACCAGAGGAAAAGAAAUCAACCGAGAUUCCGUAAGUAGCGACGAGCGAACGCGGACUAGCCCUUAAGCUGGAUUGGUUCUAGGAAAACGCUCUGGAAAGAGCGGCCAUAGAAGGUGAUAGCCCUGUAUCUGAAAGGGCCAUUCCAGUGAAGACGAGUAGGGCGGGGCACGUGAAACCCUGUCUGAACAUGGGGGGACCAUCCUCCAAGGCUAAAUACUACUGACCGACCGAUAGUGAACCAGUACCGUGAGGGAAAGGCGAAAAGAACCCCGGAGAGGGGAGUGAAAUAGAACCUGAAACCGUGUGCGUACAAGCAGUAGGAGCUCCGCAAGGAGUGACUGCGUACCUUUUGUAUAAUGGGUCAGCGACUUACUGUUCGUGGCAAGCUUAACCGUAUAGGGGAGGCGAAGGGAAACCGAGUCUGAUAAGGGCGCAUAGUCGCGGGCAGUAGACCCGAAACCGGGUGAUCUAGUCAUGCCCAGGGUGAAGGUGCGGUAACACGCACUGGAGGCCCGAACCCACUCCCGUUGCAAAGGUAGGGGAUGAGGUGUGAUUAGGAGUGAAAAGCUAAUCGAACCCGGAGAUAGCUGGUUCUCCUCGAAAGCUAUUUAGGUAGCGCCUCAUAUGUAUCCUCUCGGGGUAGAGCACUGUUAUGGCUAGGGGUCAUCGCGACUUACCAAACCAUUGCAAACUCCGAAUACCGAGACGGACUGUAUGGGAGACACACGGCGGGUGCUAACGUCCGUCGUGAAAAGGGAAACAACCCAGACCCACAGCUAAGGUCCCAAAUUUUGUGCUAAGUGGAAAACCAUGUGGAAAGGCACAGACAGCCAGGAGGUUGGCUUAGAAGCAGCCACCCUUUAAAGAAAGCGUAAUAGCUCACUGGUCGAGUCGGUCUGCGGGGAAGAUUUAACGGGGCUAAGCACAGAACCGAAGCUUGGGGUGCAUAACUUUGUUAUGCGCGGUAGAGGAGCGUUCCGUAAGCCGUUGAAGGUGGAUUGAGAAGUCUGCUGGAGGUAUCGGAAGUGCGAAUGCUGACAUGAGUAACGAUAAUGCGGGUGAAAAACCCGCACGCCGAAAGCCCAAGGUUUCCUUGCGCAACGUUAAUCGGCGCAGGGUGAGUCGGCCCCUAAGGCGAGGACGAAAGUCGUAGUCGAUGGGAAGCAGGUUAAUAUUCCUGCACCUCGCGUAAGUGCGAUGGAGGGACGGAGAAGGUUAGGUGUACCAGGCGUUGGUUGUCCUGGGGAAAGGCGGUAGGUUUGGAUCUUUGGCAAAUCCGGGAUCCUUUAAGACCGAGCACCGAGACGAGCCUUUAUGGCGAAGUCACUGAUACCACGCUUCCAGGAAAAGCUCCUAAGCUUCAGCUUACGCAGACCGUACCGUAAACCGACACAGGUGGGUAGGAUGAGAAUUCUCAGGCGCUUGAGAGAACUCGGGUGAAGGAACUAGGCAACAUGGCACCGUAACUUCGGGAGAAGGUGCACCCUUUUUGGUGGCUCGUGCGAGCUAUAGCUGAAGAGGGUCGCAGUAACCAGGCCGCUGCGACUGUUUAUCAAAAACACAGCACUCUGCAAACACGAAAGUGGACGUAUAGGGUGUGACGCCUGCCCGGUGCUGGAAGGUUAAUUGAUGGGGUCAGCCGCAAGGCGAAGCUCUUGAUCGAAGCCCCAGUAAACGGCGGCCGUAACUAUAACGGUCCUAAGGUAGCGAAAUUCCUUGUCGGGUAAGUUCCGACCUGCACGAAUGGCGUAACGACAGCGGCGCUGUCUCCACCCGAGACUCAGUGAAAUUGAAAUCGCUGUGAAGAUGCAGCGUUCCCGUGGCAAGACGGAAAGACCCCGUGAACCUUUACUAUAGCUUUACACUGAACGUUGAGUUCGUCUGUGUAGGAUAGGUGGGAGGCUAUGAAACCAUGGCGCUAGCUGUGGUGGAGCCAUCCUUGAAAUACCACCCUGUCGUGCUUGACGUUCUAACCUGGGCCCAUUAUCUGGGUCGGGGACCGUGUAUGGUGGGUAGUUUGACUGGGGCGGUCUCCUCCUAAAGAGUAACGGAGGAGCUCGAAGGUACGCUCAGCGCGGUCGGACAUCGCGCACUGUGUGCAAAGGCAUAAGCGUGCUUGACUGCAAGAUCGACGGAUCAAGCAGGUAGGAAACUAGGACUUAGUGAUCCGGUGGUUCUGUAUGGAAGGGCCAUCGCUCAACGGAUAAAAGGUACUCCGGGGAUAACAGGCUGAUACCGCCCAAGAGUUCAUAUCGACGGCGGUGUUUGGCACCUCGAUGUCGGCUCAUCACAUCCUGGGGCUGUAGUCGGUCCCAAGGGUAUGGCUGUUCGCCAUUUAAAGUGGUACGCGAGCUGGGUUCAGAACGUCGUGAGACAGUUCGGUCCCUAUCUGCCAUGGGCGUUGGAGAUUUGAGAGGGGCUGCUCCUAGUACGAGAGGACCGGAGUGGACGAACCUCUGGUGUUCCGGUUGUCACGCCAGUGGCAUUGCCGGGUAGCUAUGUUCGGAAGCGAUAACCGCUGAAAGCAUCUAAGCGGGAAGCGCGCCUCAAGAUGAGAUCUCCCGGGGCACAAGCCCCCUGAAGGAACCAUGUAGACUACGUGGUUGAUAGGUCAGGUGUGUAAGUACAGCAAUGUAUUGAGCUAACUGAUACUAAUGAUCCGAGAGGCUUGACCAUAUAACCU
RNAcentral lists this ribosomal RNA (2892 nucleotides) under Stenotrophomonas maltophilia. Its description in RNAcentral is "23S ribosomal RNA". It matches the Rfam family "Bacterial large subunit ribosomal RNA". The record is from RNAcentral. Lineage: Bacteria; Pseudomonadati; Pseudomonadota; Gammaproteobacteria; Lysobacterales; Lysobacteraceae.